GAUGAAGAACGCAGCGAAAUGCGAUAAGUAAUGCGAAUUGCAGAAUUCCAGUGAGUCAUCGAGUCUUUGAACGCACAUUGCGCCCCCUGGUAUUCCGGGGGGCAUGCCUGUCCGAGCGUCAUUGCUGCCCAUCAAGCACGGCUUGUGUGUUGGGUCGUCGUCCCCUCUCCGGGGGGGACGGGCCCCAAAGGCAGCGGCGGCACCGCGUCCGAUCCUCGAGCGUAUGGGGCUUUGUCACCCGCUCUGUAGGCCCGGCCGGGGCUUGCCGAACGCAAAUCAAUCUUUUUCCAGGUUGACCUCGGAUCAGGUAGGGAUACCCGCUGAACUUAAGCAUAUCAAUAAGCGGAGGA
RNAcentral lists this unclassified non-coding RNA (350 nucleotides) under soil metagenome. RNAcentral's name for it is "partial contains 5.8S ribosomal RNA, internal transcribed spacer 2, and large subunit ribosomal RNA". The stretch from base 1 to 121 matches the Rfam family "5.8S ribosomal RNA", at positions 35 to 154 of the family's 154-position model. The record is from RNAcentral.